This 72-nucleotide transfer RNA is filed under the name Struthiolaria papulosa. RNAcentral describes it as "tRNA-Thr". It matches the Rfam family "tRNA". Rfam says of the family: Transfer RNA (tRNA) molecules are approximately 80 nucleotides in length. Their secondary structure includes four short double-helical elements and three loops (D, anti-codon, and T loops). Lineage: Eukaryota; Metazoa; Mollusca; Gastropoda; Littorinimorpha; Struthiolaridae. The record is from RNAcentral.
UAGCAAUAAUAGCUUAAAUAUAAAGCAUUGGUCUUGUAAAUCAAAGAUUGCAUUAAAAUAAUGCUUAUUGCU